Molecule: ribosomal RNA, 468 nt
Filed under: uncultured bacterium
Lineage: Bacteria
Description: partial 16S ribosomal RNA
Rfam family: Bacterial small subunit ribosomal RNA
Source: RNAcentral
GACGAACGCUGGCGGCGUGCUUAACACAUGCAAGUCGAACGGAAAGGCCCUGCUUUUGUUGUUUGCUCGAGUGGCGAACGGGUGAGUAACACGUGAGUAACCUGCCCUUGACUUUGUGAUAACUUCUGGAAACUGGGGCUAAUACCGGAUAGGAGCUCCUGCUGCAUGGUGGGGGUUGGAAAGUUUCGGCGGUUGGGGAUGGACUCGCGGCUUAUCAGCUUGUUGGGGGGGUAGUGGCUUACCAGGGCUUUGACGGGUAGCCGGCCUGAGAGGGUGACCGGCCACCUUGGGACUGAGAUACGGCCCAGACUCGUACGGGAGGCAGCAGUGGGGAAUAUUGCACAAUGGGCGGAAGCCUGAUGCAGCAACGCCGCGUGCGGGAUGACGGCCUUCGGGUUGUAAACAGCUUUCGAAUGUGACGAAGCGUGAGUGACGGUAAUGGGUAAAGAAGCAACGGCUAACUACGUG